CUGGCGGCGCGCUUAAUACAUGCAAGUCGAACGAGAAGCCAGAGCUUGCUCUGGUGGAAAGUGGCGAACGGGUGAGUAACACGUGAGAAACCUGCCCCAAAGAUUGGGAUAAGCCUUGGAAACGAGGUCUAAUACCAAAUACCUUCCUUUAACACAUGUUAAAAGAAGAAAUGCUCCGGCGCUUUGGGAUGGUCUCGCGAUCUAUCAGCUUGUUGGUGAGGUAACGGCUCACCAAGGCAUCGACGGAGGUAGCUGGUCUGAGAGGAUGUCCAGCCACAUUGGAACUGAGACACGGUCCAAACUCCUACGGGAGGCAGCAGUAGGGGAAUCUUGCACAAUGAGGGAAACCUUGAUGCAGCGACGCCGCGUGCGGGACGAAGGCCCUAGGGUUGUAAACCGCUUUCAGUAGGGACGAAAGUGACGGUACCUACAGAAGAAGCCCCGGCCAACUAUGUG
RNAcentral lists this ribosomal RNA (456 nucleotides) under uncultured bacterium. RNAcentral's name for it is "bacterial SSU rRNA". It matches the Rfam family "Bacterial small subunit ribosomal RNA", at positions 36 to 507 of the family's 1533-position model. The record is from RNAcentral.